Molecule: long non-coding RNA, 1379 nt
Organism: Eucalyptus grandis
Lineage: Eukaryota; Viridiplantae; Streptophyta; Magnoliopsida; Myrtales; Myrtaceae
Exons: 2
Source: RefSeq, a predicted model, not a curated record
UUUUUUUUAAUAUUUUUAUUAUUGUUGCUCAAGUUCCCUUCCAUCGAAAGCCGUGCUCUCAUUGCAGCCAUGUGUAAAAGACAAGAGAGAGGGGGCCAAAAGAGAAUGGAAUAAAGUAGGCGAAUAAAUUGACCUGAAGCGUGACAUGGUAGGGCCAGCACUGAAUCUCUAACUUCUUCAGCAAGUUCUCGGACUUGAGAAGCAAGUUGAAGAUGAAGAGCCCUAAUAAGUAAAUAAAAAUAUAAAAAAUGAUAAAUAUCUAAGAAAAAGCUUGUAGGUAACUUUCAAAGAAAGGGAAAAGAAGUCGAAAAGGACGGCAUCAGACCGACCCAGGCAUGGCUCUCAAACCAUAAUGCCAGUACAGUAUAAAUUCAUCUCUUCUCCUCUUAGACUGGACAUCAAAACUUCCCCACCCUAGCUCAAACGUUUAUCUCUGCUUCUUUCCUUGUUGCGGAGAACAUGAGAUGGAAGAAACUGAGAUAGCCAUGGAGUGUUCCUCUGCAGGAUUCGCUGUUAAGCCGGCCACUACCAAAGUACUUGUCAAUCAUUACUUGAAGCCAAAACGAAGAACAAAUAGCAGAUUCCCGAUUUACCCGUGUUUUUUCUGUAGAAAACACGGGUAGGAAUCAUGCACGAAUAUCACCUAAAUGCUACUUUUCUGUGGCAUACUUCCUUACACCGAUAAUCUGUCUUUGCCCUUCCUAUGGAAUACGAGAUGAGAAGGCUGAUAAUAAAUGAUGUUGAAUAUUUCUGAGGUGACAUUGGAUAUGAGGGAUAGAUCAUACUAUUAUGAAAAGAUUAAUAUACUGCAGAGAAGUCAACCUACGUUUGAUUACAUUGUUGAAGAUAAUUUCAACAAAGGCAGUACGCUUAUUGUAAACACAAUGAGCUUUGCAUUAGAGGCUAAAUUUUACCUCUCUAUUAUUCCUCCCCCAAAUAGGUCAUAGCUAUUUCACCUUAAUUAUCAUAACAACAUCGACUAGUCCAACAACGUAGUAUGAUGAGCAUCUUUCUUUCUUGUGGGGAUGCUGAUGAAAGAAUGCAAGUAUCUAAUGAAGAGUUCUCAGCUCCAGGGCAUAGUCACAUGAAGACCUUCUGUUCUCAGCUCAAGAAUAUACAGUAGAAAAAGUCAGACUCAACCUUGAAGUUUGAAGAUCAGUUAUAUUUCCAGUUCUCCCCGGUAGCAUUAUCUUAUGUUCUCAUUUAUCUCUCUUGUAAUGUAAUUCUACAACGGUAUCUGUCACGCUACUUUAUCAUUUUCUUUUGGCCCAGAAUCUGUAAUGCGAGUUGAUGAUGAUAUUUCAAGUCAGCUGAGAAGAGCAUAACAAAAUAUGAUUUUUUGCUGCUGAAGUUCACCUCAUCGUAACACUUUUCAAGAA